UACCUUGUUACGACUUCACCCCAAUCAUCGGCCCCACCUUCGACGACUUGCUCCUCUUUCAAGGUUGCUCCAUCGGCUUCGGGUGUUGCAGACUUUCGUGGUGUGACGGGCGGUGUGUACAAGGCCCGGGAACGUAUUCACCGCGGCGUGCUGAUCCGCGAUUACUAGCGAUUCCGACUUCAUGCAGGCGAGUUGCAGCCUGCAAUCCGAACUGAGACCUGCUUUUUGGGAUUGGCUCCACCUCACGGCUUCGCUACCCUUUGUACAGGCCAUUGUAGCACGUGUGUAGCCCAGGUCAUAAAGGGCAUGAUGAUUUGACGUCAUCCCCACCUUCCUCCGGUUUGUCACCGGCAGUCUCUCUAGAGUGCCCACCUUACGUGCUGGCAACUAAAGAUAAGGGUUGCGCUCGUUGCGGGACUUAACCCAACAUCUCACGCCACGAGCUGACGACAACCAUGCACCACCUGUCUCCCUGUCUGUCCGAAGACAAAACAUCUAAUCUCUUAGACUCUCAGGGGGAUGUCAAGACCUGGUAAGGUUCUUC
RNAcentral lists this ribosomal RNA (544 nucleotides) under uncultured bacterium. RNAcentral describes it as "partial 16S ribosomal RNA". The record is from RNAcentral.